Molecule: long non-coding RNA, 674 nt
Organism: Cebus imitator (Panamanian white-faced capuchin)
Lineage: Eukaryota; Metazoa; Chordata; Mammalia; Primates; Cebidae
Exons: 3
Source: RefSeq, a predicted model, not a curated record
UCCCUGGAGUCAGCACCUGGAGGAGGAGUGCCCCAAACCUGCUGACCCUCUUUGGUCCAGAGCUGUGGACACUGCUGGUUCUGUGAGUUUGUUUUCCUGGCUCCGGUCUGCCCUGUGCCCUGGAAAUAGGAGGUAAGAAGAGACAGGAAAAGGAGGCCUGGAUGCCUAGAGAUUUUCCACUUCUAGCAAGAACAUUGUCAAGCAAGAGUUCAACCUACCCAUUUCACAGAUGCAGUAACUGAGGUGUUGUGAGGCUGCAGGCCUCGCCUCACAGAGAGUUUGUAAAGACUAGAAGCCCAGCCCAGGUGACCCCCGUGUGAAGCUUUUCCUAUAUUUAUGUACUGUUUCUCUACUAUUUCUUGACCAGCCUAGAGUGAAUCUCACCUCCUCAAAUGAUAUGGUAUGAAUGUUUGUCCCUGCCAAAUCUCAUAUUGAAAUAUGAUUUCCAUUGCCGGAGGUGAGGCCUGGCAGAAAGCGAUUGGAUCAUGGAGGCAGACUCCUCAUGAAUGGAUUAGCACCAUCCUCUUAGUUCAUGUAAGAUCUGGUUGUUUCAAAGAGCCUGGGACGUCCCCCUUCUCUCUCAUGCUCCCACUCUUGCCCCAUGAUGCACCCGCUCCCCUUUGCCUUUCACCAUGAUUUAAGCUUUCUGAGGCCUCACCAGAAGGAGUUGCUGG